UCCCUGGUGGUCCAGUAUUUAAGCCUCUACACUCUCAAUGCAGAGGAGCCAGGUUCAAACCCUGGUCAGGGAA
This 73-nucleotide transfer RNA is filed under the name Ovis aries (sheep). It matches the Rfam family "tRNA". Rfam says of the family: Transfer RNA (tRNA) molecules are approximately 80 nucleotides in length. The record is from Rfam by way of RNAcentral. Lineage: Eukaryota; Metazoa; Chordata; Mammalia; Artiodactyla; Bovidae.